ACCAGUGUGGCGGCCAAGCGUUCAUAACGACGUCGCUUUUUGAUCCUUCGAUGUCGGCUCUUCCUAUCAUAGCGUCAGACAACGCCCUGAGCAUGCGAUUGUUCACCGACCGACAGGGAAUGCGAGCUGGGUUUAGACUGUCGUGAGACAGGUU
RNAcentral lists this ribosomal RNA (154 nucleotides) under Trialeurodes vaporariorum (greenhouse whitefly). Its description in RNAcentral is "eukaryotic large subunit ribosomal RNA". It matches the Rfam family "Eukaryotic large subunit ribosomal RNA", at positions 2833 to 2984 of the family's 3401-position model. Lineage: Eukaryota; Metazoa; Arthropoda; Insecta; Hemiptera; Aleyrodidae. The record is from RNAcentral.